This is a long non-coding RNA of Dromaius novaehollandiae (emu), 466 nucleotides long. RefSeq lists it as uncharacterized. The transcript has 2 exons. NCBI's taxonomy places the organism in Eukaryota, Metazoa, Chordata, Aves, Casuariiformes, Dromaiidae. The record is from RefSeq and is a predicted model, not a curated record.
GCUCCUCUCAUUUCUUAUCUCAUAAGGAUGAAACAGAAUGGGUACUAUGACAGCUGCUGGAUUCUUCAUCUCAUGAAUACCAUCUAAGGACAGUAAACUUGGAUAUGCGUGGAUCCUACCGUGAGAAAGGCGAAAUUGUCAAUAUGAGCAUCAUACUCCUUCUCGUAAAGGACUCGGGAUACUGGCAAUGCACCAUACCCUGUCCCCGAGACUGAAGCCAUCAACCUCAGGACCUCAGAAGCAGGGGAAGGAAGACUGAGAAUAACACCAGAAAAAGGGGUAGAUACUAGGAAGUUUGUGCAUAACAAAUUUAACUGUAUUAUUACUGAGACCUUUUCUGUAAUAGUGAAUUGUUUUCUUUUUCUUUCUUUUUCUGCAAUCAUUAGAUUUGGAAUAAUAAUAAUUCUUUGAUUAGCCUGUUGAUAUUUCAGUUAUACUAACAAUAAAUUCCUGAGUUUACAUGUCA